UGGCUCAGGACGAACGCUGGCGGCGUGCCUAAUACAUGCAAGUCGAGCGAGCUGAACCAACAGAUUCACUUCGGUGAUGACGUUGGGAACGCGAGCGGCGGAUGGGUGAGUAACACGUGGGGAACCUGCCCCAUAGUCUGGGAUACCACUUGGAAACAGGUGCUAAUACCGGAUAAGAAAGCAGAUCGCAUGAUCAGCUUAUAAAAGGCGGCGUAAGCUGUCGCUAUGGGAUGGCCCCGCGGUGCAUUAGCUAGUUGGUAGGGUAACGGCCUACCAAGGCAAUGAUGCAUAGCCGAGUUGAGAGACUGAUCGGCCACAUUGGGACUGAGACACGGCCCAA
This 340-nucleotide ribosomal RNA is filed under the name Lactobacillus acidophilus. RNAcentral's name for it is "bacterial SSU rRNA". It matches the Rfam family "Bacterial small subunit ribosomal RNA", at positions 20 to 334 of the family's 1533-position model. The record is from RNAcentral. Lineage: Bacteria; Bacillati; Bacillota; Bacilli; Lactobacillales; Lactobacillaceae.